RNAcentral lists this ribosomal RNA (468 nucleotides) under uncultured bacterium. RNAcentral describes it as "partial 16S ribosomal RNA". It matches the Rfam family "Bacterial small subunit ribosomal RNA", at positions 28 to 507 of the family's 1533-position model. The record is from RNAcentral.
GACGAACGCUGGCGGCGUGCCUAACACAUGCAAGUCGAACGGAAAGGCCCUGCUUUUGUGGGGUGCUCGAUUGGCGAACGCGUGAGUAACACGUGAGUAACCUCCCCUUGACUUUCGGAUAUCUUCAGGAAACUGGGGCUAAUACCGGAUAGGAGCUCCUGCUGCGUGGUGUGCGUUGGAAAGUUUCGGCGGUUGGGGAUGGUCUCGCUGGUUAUCAGCUUGUUGGUGAGGUAGUGGCUUACCAAGGCUUUGACGGGUAGCCGGCCUGAGAGGGUGGCCGGCGACAAUGGGACUGAGAUACGGAGCAGACGCGUAUGGGACGCAGCAGUGGGGAACAUUGCGCAGUGGGCGGGAGCCAGAUGCAGAAACGCCGCGUGCGGGAUGACGGCCUUCGGGUUGUAAACCGCUGUGGCCUGUGACGAAGCGGGAGUGACGGUAAUGGGUAAGGAAGCACCGGCUAACUACGUG